RNAcentral lists this ribosomal RNA (375 nucleotides) under uncultured eukaryote. RNAcentral's name for it is "SSU rRNA". It matches the Rfam family "Eukaryotic small subunit ribosomal RNA", at positions 587 to 972 of the family's 1831-position model. The record is from RNAcentral.
AGCUCCAAUAGCGUAUAUUAAUGUUGUUGCAGUUAAAAGCUCGUAGUCGGAUUUUGGCUUAGUCGAACUGUCUGCCAAUUGGUAUGUACGGUUUGACGACGCAUUCCUUCCAGAGGCUCUGUGAACCUUAAAUGAUGAACAGUAAGAAUCUGGAUCUUUUACUUUGAAAAAUUAGAGUGUUCAAAGCAGGCCUAUGCUCGAAUAGGUUAGCAUGGAAUAAUAGAAUAGGACUUUGGUUCUAUUUUGUUGGUUUCUAGGACCGAAGUAAUGAUUAAUAGGGACAGUUGGGGGCAUUCAUAUUCCAUUGUCAGAGGUGAAAUUCUUGGAUUAACGGAAGAUGAACUUCUGCGAAAGCAUCUGCCAAGGAUGUUUUCA